Molecule: transfer RNA, 80 nt
Filed under: Cladosporium sphaerospermum UM 843
Lineage: Eukaryota; Fungi; Ascomycota; Dothideomycetes; Cladosporiales; Cladosporiaceae
Description: tRNA-Leu (AAG) (tRNA-Leu-AAG-1 1 to 7)
Rfam family: tRNA
About the family: Transfer RNA (tRNA) molecules are approximately 80 nucleotides in length. Their secondary structure includes four short double-helical elements and three loops (D, anti-codon, and T loops).
Source: RNAcentral
GGUGAGAUGGCCGAGCGGUCUAAGGCGCUAGCUUAAGGCGCUAGUCCGAAAGGGCGUGGGUUCGAAUCCCACUCUCAUCA